This 142-nucleotide non-coding RNA is filed under the name Lonsdalea quercina. RNAcentral's name for it is "Bacterial small subunit ribosomal RNA". It matches the Rfam family "Bacterial small subunit ribosomal RNA", at positions 1 to 136 of the family's 1533-position model. The record is from Rfam by way of RNAcentral. Lineage: Bacteria; Pseudomonadati; Pseudomonadota; Gammaproteobacteria; Enterobacterales; Pectobacteriaceae.
UAAUUGAAGAGUUUGAUCAUGGCUCAGAUUGAACGCUGGCGGCAGGCCUAACACAUGCAAGUCGAGCGGCAGCGGAAGGAAGCUUGCUUCCUUGCCGGCGAGCGGCGGACGGGUGAGUAAUGUCUGGGGAUCUGCCCGAUGG